This 460-nucleotide ribosomal RNA is filed under the name uncultured bacterium. Its description in RNAcentral is "partial 16S ribosomal RNA". It matches the Rfam family "Bacterial small subunit ribosomal RNA", at positions 338 to 795 of the family's 1533-position model. The record is from RNAcentral.
CCUACGGGAGGCAGCAGUGGGGAAUAUUGGUCAAUGGGCGCGAGCCUGAACCAGCCAAGUAGCGUGAAGGAUGACUGCCCUACGGGUUGUAAACUUCUUUUAUAAAGGAAUAAAGUGAGGCACGUGUGCCUUUUUGUAUGUACUUUAUGCAUAAGGAUCGGCUAACUCCGUGCCAGCAGCCGCGGUACUACGGAGGAUCCGAGCGUUAUCCGGAUUUAUUGGGUUUAAAGGGAGCGUAGGUGGGUUGUUAAGUCAGUUGUGAAAGUUUGCGGCUCAACCGUAAAAUUGCAAUUGAUACUGGCAGCCUUGAGUACAGUUGAGGUAGGCGGAAUUCGAGGUGUAGCGGUGAAAUGCUUAGAUAUCACGAAGAACUCCGAUGGCGAAGGCAGCUUACUAAACAGCCACUGACAUUGAUGCUCGAAAGUGUGGGGAGCAAACAGGAUUAGAUACCCGUGUAGUC